Triticum aestivum (bread wheat) is the source of this 123-nucleotide non-coding RNA. The record is from Rfam. NCBI's taxonomy places the organism in Eukaryota, Viridiplantae, Streptophyta, Magnoliopsida, Poales, Poaceae.
AAUAUACUCCCUCCAUGCGAAAAUACUUGUCGGAAAAUGGAUAAAAUGGAUGUAUGUAGAACGAAAAUACAUAUAGAUAUAUCCAUUUAUCUGACAAGUAUUUCCAGACGGAGGGAGUACUAU